Molecule: ribosomal RNA, 513 nt
Filed under: uncultured bacterium
Lineage: Bacteria
Description: partial 16S ribosomal RNA
Rfam family: Bacterial small subunit ribosomal RNA
Source: RNAcentral
GAUGAACGCUGGCGGCGUGCCUAAUACAUGCAAGCCGAACGCGCAGCGAAAGGUGCUUGCACCUUUCAAGCGAGUGGCGAACGGGUGAGUAACACGUGGAUAACCUGCCUCAAGGCUGGGGAUAACAUUUGGAAACAGAUGCUAAUACCGAAUAAAACUUAGUAUCGCAUGAUACAAAGUUAAAAGGCGCUACGGCGUCACCUAGAGAUGGAUCCGCGGUGCAUUAGUUAGUUGGUGGGGUAAAGGCUUACCAAGACGAUGAUGCAUAGCCGAGUUGAGAGACUGAUCGGCCACAUUGGGACUGAGACACGGCCCAAACUCCUACGGGAGGCUGCAGUAGGGAAUCUUCCACAAUGGGCGCAAGCCCGAUGGAGCAACGCCGCGUGUGUGAUGAAGGCUUUCGGGUCGUAAAGCACUGUUGUAUGGGAAGAAAUGCUAAAAUAGGGAAUGAUUUUAGUUUGACGGUACCAUACCAGAAAGGGACGGCUAAAUACGUGCCAGCCGCCGCGGUAA